CUCCAGUUCCUGUAGUGAAACAUGGAAAAGAUUGCAAGUAUGGUGCUUCUGCUAGAGGUAGAGCUUCUAGUCCUGCAGUCUUUCAGGCCUCCUUAAUAUCUAUCAUCAAAAAAAUAACGGUAUGCAAGGAGUUUGACAUGAGAAUAGUCUGAGGACUCUGCCUUCCACUGCAGAUAUUGAAAGCUGG
This 187-nucleotide long non-coding RNA is filed under the name Struthio camelus australis. RNAcentral's name for it is "lncRNA (ENSSCUG00000013679.1)". Lineage: Eukaryota; Metazoa; Chordata; Aves; Struthioniformes; Struthionidae. The record is from RNAcentral.